GACGGAAGGUGCAAGCGUUGCUCGGAAUCACUGGGCGUAAAGGGUGCGUAGGCGGCUUCUUAAGUCUGGUGUGAAAGCCCAGGGCUCAGCUCUGGAAGUGCACUAGAAACUGGGGAGCUUGAGUACCGGAGGGGAGAGUGGAAUUCCUGGUGUAGCGGUGAAAUGCGUAGAUAUCUGGAGGAAUACCGGUGGCGAAGGCGGCAUCCUGGACCGGCAUUGACGCUGAGGAGCGAAAGCCAGGGGAGCAAACGGG
This 253-nucleotide ribosomal RNA is filed under the name uncultured bacterium. RNAcentral describes it as "partial 16S ribosomal RNA". It matches the Rfam family "Bacterial small subunit ribosomal RNA", at positions 524 to 776 of the family's 1533-position model. The record is from RNAcentral.